RNAcentral lists this ribosomal RNA (762 nucleotides) under uncultured Actinomycetes bacterium. RNAcentral's name for it is "bacterial SSU rRNA". It matches the Rfam family "Bacterial small subunit ribosomal RNA", at positions 57 to 831 of the family's 1533-position model. Lineage: Bacteria; Bacillati; Actinomycetota; Actinomycetes. The record is from RNAcentral.
GCAAGUCGACGAUGAAGCUGGAGCUUGCUCCGGCCGAUUAGUGGCGAACGGGUGAGUAACACGUGAGCAAUCUGCCCUUGACUCUGGGAUAACUGCGGGAAACUGUAGCUAAUACCGGAUACUUUCCUCGCUGGGCAUCCAGCGGGGAAGAAAGAAUUUCGGUCAAGGAUGAGCUCGCGGCCUAUCAGCUAGUUGGUGAGGUAAAGGCUCACCAAGGCGACGACGGGUAGCCGGCCUGAGAGGGUGACCGGCCACACUGGAACUGAGACACGGUCCAGACUCCUACGGGAGGCAGCAGUGGGGAAUAUUGCACAAUGGGCGAAAGCCUGAUGCAGCAACGCCGCGUGAGGGAUGAAGGCCUUCGGGUUGUAAACCUCUUUUAGCAGGGAAGAAGCGAAAGUGACGGUACCUGCAGAAAAAGCACCGGCUAACUACGUGCCAGCAGCCGCGGUAAUACGUAGGGUGCAAGCGUUGUCCGGAAUUAUUGGGCGUAAAGAGCUCGUAGGCGGUUUGUCACGUCUGCUGUGAAAAUCCGAGGCUCAACCUCGGACUUGCAGUGGGUACGGGCAGGCUAGAGUGCGGUAGGGGAGAAGGGAAUUCCUGGUGUAGCGGUGGAAUGCGCAGAUAUCAGGAGGAACACCGAUGGCGAAGGCACUUCUCUGGGCCGUAACUGACGCUGAGGAGCGAAAGCGUGGGGAGCGAACAGGAUUAGAUACCCUGGUAGUCCACGCCGUAAACGGUGGGUGCUAGCUGUGGGCCACA